UAUGUAACACUGUGCAUUUAUUUACAAAGAGGUUAGAGAAACACACAGAAUCUGGCCCCCCUUUGCACUGGGGAGUCACCAUCGUCAUAAUAAAUACAGUAAUUUUAAAAAAGAAAAAAAAAUACUAGAUUGGAACAGCUGAGGGUCAUCAGGCUUCCCCCAUUCCCUCUUACAGGGAGUGGGGGGUAUGAGAUAGAAACCAUCUUCCUUCCCCUCUUCUACCUCCGAAUCCUCCAUAAUUGUCCAGGAAUCGAGGUGAAAGAGUCCUUCUUUCCAGGUGUUGCCAACCCCUACUUGACCCUCAAAACCCCCAAAUCAGUGCUCCUUCCCUUCCCAGGGCACUCUGCAGGAACCACCUGAGUCAGACACAGUCUCUGACCAGGGUGCCAAGGGGAUAUCUUAAAGGUCCAGGGACAUGGAGGGGGCACUUUGUGAAUGAGAGGGGGCCAUAGCUGGGCAAGGAAAGGAGGAAUGAGAGGGCUCAUCAGGAAUGAGAGAGAGAGUGGUGAAGGGGAACAAACAGACUAGGCUUCUAAACUAAAACGGGGAAAUUCAAACCAAAUUACCCCUUUUGCAUACAUGGACACUUACUGUACAGAUGAGAAAAGUGACGCCCAGAGAAGGGGAACUGUCUUGCCCAAGGACUUCCAAGCUAGAAGCUGAACUGGGUCAAACAGGGCUCCUCCCCAUUCCUCUCGCUAGUGGUGGGGGAGCCUUUUCAACCAAGACUGCUAGGAGUGGGGAGAGUGGGGGGGUCUUUGGAAGCAGAGAAAACGAUGGUCUUUGGAAGGUAGAUGUGGAAGGGUCAGUGGUUGAGAGUGUGGAGGUGCAGAGGCCAUGAAGGGGGAGCCCAAGCAAAUCCCCAAACUCACACUGUAGUCAUGACCUUGAGAGAACCCGAACGGAAACGCAGUAUCUUUUUCUUGAGCGCGUGGGAAGCCUUGAUCUUCACGAAGACUUUGGCGGGGCCGGCGGGCGCCCCUGCACCUGCUCCCCGGGCCCGGAGGCCGCAGUGGCCGCCACCAGCUGCUGCGGCCACACGAGGCCACCGCUGCCGUCUGAGUCGCUGGAGGCAGAGCUGAAGGCAGGUGACUCUCCCUCGCUGGCGCUCGAUUCGCUCUCCCCGUAACCCCCGCCGACGCCUCCCGGAGGCCCCCGGCGUCCCAGGGGCCCCAGGCGCCCGGCCGAGCACUCUGAGUCGCUGCCCGCGCAGCCGUAGAGCAGACGACGCUGGGGAGCUGACGGGGACGGGCCGGGGCCGGGAACACGCGCCGCCGGGGCUCGGGGCCGCACGCGGCGCCCAUCAGCAGCGUCGAUCUCCGCAGUGGAGCGCCAGCGACGGCAGGACCCUGCGGCCUGGGCCGCCAGCGUGGGCGCUGGGCCGCGGCGUGGCCGUGGCGGCCGAGGCUCUUCCCGCUCCGCCGUGGGGUACUUGGGGGGCCCGGAC
Molecule: long non-coding RNA, 1447 nt
Filed under: Macaca fascicularis (crab-eating macaque)
Lineage: Eukaryota; Metazoa; Chordata; Mammalia; Primates; Cercopithecidae
Description: lncRNA (ENSMFAG00000061369.1)
Source: RNAcentral